AGAUUGAACGCUGGCGGCAUGCCUAACACAUGCAAGUCGAACGGGAGUAGCAAUACUCUAGUGGCGGACGGGUGAGGAAUACGUAGGAAUUUGCCCUUAAGUGGGGGAUAACCCGGGGAAACCCGGAUUAAUACCGCAUGACCUCGAAAGAGCAAAGUGGGGGAUCGCAAGACCUCACGCUUUUGGAGAAGCCUACGUCGGAUUAGCUAGUUGGUGAGGUAAUGGCUCACCAAGGCGACGAUCCGUAACUGGUCUGGAGAGGAUGAUCAGUCACACCGGAACUGAGACACGGUCCGGACUCCGUACGGGAGCAGCAGUGGGGAAUAUUGGACAAGUGGGCGACAAGCCUGAACUCCGAGACCAAUCGCCGCGUGUGUAGAAGACGGCCGUUCGGUUAGUAAAGCUACGUUUAAGUUAGG
RNAcentral lists this ribosomal RNA (419 nucleotides) under uncultured soil bacterium. RNAcentral describes it as "bacterial SSU rRNA". It matches the Rfam family "Bacterial small subunit ribosomal RNA", at positions 26 to 443 of the family's 1533-position model. The record is from RNAcentral.